UUCAUUGUGAGAAUUUGAUCUCGUAAGUUAUCGUAAAAGCUGUAUUGAUCAUUAACCCGGUUUUUGUGAAAUUCGUUAAAGUUCGAACCUCAUGACUACCGUUAAGGUUGAUUUAGGUUUUUCACCAAUACGUAUUCCAUUCUGUUAAACCACCAAAAAUACUCCCAACUACACCCUUACAAUCAAACAAACUAUUAAAUCAUCAGAAGAUCCAGAAUAAUAAAGUACAUGCUUAAUUAUCGGGAAAAGUAGAAUCAAGAAGUUUGUUAACUCAAUCCUGCAUGAUGAUUAGUAAUUACAAUAGAUUGGAGUAAGGAUUGGAUCCGACACUGAAGGACUUCAAGAAGUGGCUUAUUUUCAAAUUAAGAAAUAUUGUUUUUAUUAAAAGCUACCUUUGUAAAACAUGGAAUUUAUUCCAUCUUUUUAAAUAAAAUCAGGUGUUUCUAAACUCUGAUAUUUUUCCUAACUCACGGUCCUGAUGAAAUUUCCGCUGCAAUGUUUUUCAAAAUAAUCACCGGUACCACUGGACUGCUC
Molecule: long non-coding RNA, 534 nt
Filed under: Helianthus annuus (common sunflower)
Lineage: Eukaryota; Viridiplantae; Streptophyta; Magnoliopsida; Asterales; Asteraceae
Description: sRNA HanXRQr2_Chr03g0111761
Source: RNAcentral